GUGCCAGCAGCCGCGGUAAUACGUAGGGGGCUAGCGUUGUCCGGAAUCAUUGGGCGUAAAGCGCGUGUAGGCGGCCCGAUAAGUCCGCUGUGAAAGUCCAGGGCUCAACCCUGGGAUGCCGGUGGAUACUGUCGGGCUCGAGUCCGGAAGAGGCGAGUGGAAUUCCUGGUGUAGCGGUGAAAUGCGCAGAUAUCAGGAGGAACACCAAUGGCGAAGGCAGCUCGCUGGGACGUGACUGACGCUGAGACGCGAAAGCGUGGGGAGCAAACAGGAUUAGAUACCCGCGUAGUCC
This 292-nucleotide ribosomal RNA is filed under the name uncultured bacterium. RNAcentral's name for it is "partial 16S ribosomal RNA". It matches the Rfam family "Bacterial small subunit ribosomal RNA", at positions 505 to 796 of the family's 1533-position model. The record is from RNAcentral.